RNAcentral lists this long non-coding RNA (1460 nucleotides) under Rattus norvegicus (Norway rat). Its description in RNAcentral is "long non-coding RNA NONRATT010482". Lineage: Eukaryota; Metazoa; Chordata; Mammalia; Rodentia; Muridae. The record is from RNAcentral.
UAUUGCAAGCGGACCUCUUGAGUUUGAGGCCAGUCAGACUCGAAGAGUCCUUGUCUCAGAAAACAGACAAACAACCCCACCCCAGCCCCAAAACACGAGCUAGUGGUUGAAUUUAUAAGGGAGAACUUUUAACAGCCUGAUGUAAGCCACUUUCUCAAUACUACAAUUCUCUGUAUCUCAACAAAUAAGUUUUGCAGCUUGCCAGGACUUUCCUUACAUCUCGAUGAUAUCAAGAACUGCUUUUCUAUAAGGUGAGCUCAGCUUUCCAGAGAGGGUUAUCUGUUUGGAGAGAUUGUUCCAGAGCCACAUGGAUGUCAAAAUCUUGGAACGGUAAAGUUUUUUACUUUAAAGACUGUUGUAGUGUUUAUUGUCCACACCCUACAGCAUCUGCUCUUGGGACUCUCCCUGUGAGAGCCAGCCCUCUGCCAGGGCAACCCAGUCUAGAAAAGCUUCUUUACUUUAAAAGUUGCCUCAAAAGAAACUCAGAAUUAUAUCACUCCAGAGUUUAUGCCAGCAUUGACAUUCACUAGGGGCAAAAUGCAAAACGUGAGAGUUAAUUGUGGAAUAGAAUAGGAAUUCUGGCUAAGUAAAAUUUAGCUGCAUAAUUACAUAAGAAAGUAACUGUCAAAAAAAAAAAAAAAAAAAGAAAGUAACUGUCUUUUUCUCUGAAGUUUUACAACUUAUUUGGUUCCACAAUGAACUACAUACAGUUCUGAAAAAAUAAGAUUUUACUUGAACUAUGCAUACUGUGAACUAUAUAUUUUUGUGUCAGUUUUGGUAUUAUAUCUUUCAAAUUUUAACUUAUUUUUAUGUCUAUGGACAUGGGUGUUUUACUUUCAUACAUAUGUGUGUGCACAUAUAAACGCCUGGUGUCUACUGAGGUCAGAAGUGGGUGUCAGAUCUCUGGAGCUGGAGUUACAAAUGGUCGUGAGCUUCGAUGUUGGUGCUUGGAGUUGAACUCAGUGCUCCUGUGUCUGAGAGAUUGCGUUUUGUCACAGGGAUAGUGAGAAAUACCUAUCUGAAAGGUCCUCCUGGGUAUUUUCACUCGUGUGCUGAGUAGGCUGGCGUGGAGAUACGCUGUUCACAGCAAACAUGCAGUGGGCUCUGCGGUUCUCUCCUUGGUUCAGUCCCAUCAGUGUUCUCAUUCUGAAGUGUCUUUCUAGGUUCUACUGUUUUUCCCAGCGCUUGGCACAGAACUGUUUCAGGUUUAUACUUUGCAUUCCACUUACCUCCUGUUGUUGGCAACACCAGUGUAACCGUGAACUAGGCUAAAGGUUUACAUUUUCAGUUACUUUGCUCUAGAUUGUGCUGUAUAAGCACGAGGGCCUAUAUUUAGUUUUGAGUUCAUAUGUGUAUUUUUAAGUUAAUAAUGACUUAAGUUGUAAAAGCAGCCUGAAGUUUGUCUUAAAAUUUCAUGUCCUUGGCUUUAGGAUUCAGUCAUUUAAAAAAAAAAAAAACUU